UGCAUCGGAACGUGCCCUGAAGUGGGGGAUAACGCAGCGAAAGCUACGCUAAUACCGCAUAUUCUGUGAGCAGGAAAGCAGGGGAUCGCAAGACCUUGCGCUUUGGGAGCGGCCGAUGUCGGAUUAGCUAGUUGGUGGGGUAAAGGCCUACCAAGGCGACGAUCCGUAGCGGGUCUGAGAGGAUGAUCCGCCACACUGGGACUGAGACACGGCCCAGACUCCUACGGGAGGCAGCAGUGGGGAAUUUUGGACAAUGGGCGGAAGCCUGAUCCAGCCAUGCCGCGUGAGUGAAGAAGGCCUUCGGGUUGUAAAGCUCUUUCGGCGGGGAAGAAAUUGCUUGGGUUAAUACCCUGAGUAGAUGACGGUACCCGAAUAAGAAGCACCGGCUAACUACGUG
RNAcentral lists this ribosomal RNA (397 nucleotides) under uncultured beta proteobacterium. Its description in RNAcentral is "bacterial SSU rRNA". It matches the Rfam family "Bacterial small subunit ribosomal RNA", at positions 114 to 507 of the family's 1533-position model. Lineage: Bacteria; Pseudomonadati; Pseudomonadota; Betaproteobacteria. The record is from RNAcentral.